Molecule: ribosomal RNA, 418 nt
Filed under: uncultured bacterium
Lineage: Bacteria
Description: bacterial SSU rRNA
Rfam family: Bacterial small subunit ribosomal RNA
Source: RNAcentral
GGGAAUAUUGGUCAAUGGGUGAGAGCCUGAACCAGCCAUGCCGCGUGCAGGAAGACGGCCUUCUGGGUUGUAAACUGCUUUUAUCUGGGGAUAAACAGCUCAUGCGUGAGUAAUUGAAGGUACCAGAUGAAUAAGCACCGGCUAACUACGUGCCAGCAGCCGCGGUAAUACGUAGGGUGCAAGCGUUGUCCGGAUUUAUUGGGUGUAAAGGGUGCGUAGGCGGCCUGUUAAGUCAGUGGUGAAAUCCAACAGCUCAACUGUUGAUGUGCCAAUGAUACUGACGGGCUUGAGUACAGACGAGGUAGGCGGAAUUGACAGUGUAGCGGUGAAAUGCAUAGAUAUUGUCAAGAACACCGAUAGCGAAGGCAGCUUGCUAGCCUGUAACUGACGCUGAGGCACGAAAGUGUGGGGAUCAAAC